UACAGAGGUCCCAAGCGUUGUUCGGAUUCACUGGGCGUAAAGGGUGCGUAGGUGGCCGGGUAAGUUCGGUGUGAAAUCUCGGAGCUCAACUCCGAAAAGUCAUCGAAUACUAUCCGGCUAGAGGGUCGGAGGGGAGACUGGAAUUCUCGGUGUAGCAGUGAAAUGCGUAGAUAUCGAGAGGAACACCAGUGGCGAAGGCGAGUCUCUGGACGACUCCUGACACUGAGGCACGAAAGCUAGGGGAGCAAACAGG
This 253-nucleotide ribosomal RNA is filed under the name uncultured bacterium. RNAcentral's name for it is "partial 16S ribosomal RNA". It matches the Rfam family "Bacterial small subunit ribosomal RNA", at positions 524 to 776 of the family's 1533-position model. The record is from RNAcentral.